CUAAUGAGGGAAUGCCAAUCUCUAAAGAUCCGACCAAGAAAGGAAACCUAAGGCUCAAGUUCGACGUCGUCUUUCGGGCGAAGCUUAGUGCAGAGCAGAAGGAUGAUCUGAGGAGAGUGCUGGGUGGAGGUGAUACCUAAGGUUAUGAGAAUUCAUAUGCCUCGGAUAAAAACCAAAUCCGUUUUAACUCUAAUUGUCAUGUAAAUAUUUAAUCUUUCCACGGUGCGAUUGUGCAUACUAGUCUAGUUUGAAGGUUUGGAAUCCAUAAAUGUAAGAAAUGCUCACGGAGCUCCCUAAAUUGUAAGAUUAUUUUCUAAUGGCUUAUAACACUUUUCUU
Long non-coding RNA from Pyrus x bretschneideri (Chinese white pear), 337 nucleotides. RefSeq lists it as uncharacterized. The record is from RefSeq and is a predicted model, not a curated record. The transcript has 2 exons. NCBI's taxonomy places the organism in Eukaryota, Viridiplantae, Streptophyta, Magnoliopsida, Rosales, Rosaceae.